GAUGAACGCUGGCGGCGUGCUUAACACAUGCAAGUCGAGCGAAGCACUUAAGUUUGAUUCUUCGGAUGAAGACUUUUGUGACUGAGCGGCGGACGGGUGAGUAACGCGUGGGUAACCUGCCUCAUACAGGGGGAUAACAGUUAGAAAUGACUGCUAAUACCGCAUAAGACCACGGUACCGCAUGGUACAGUGGUAAAAACUCCGGUGGUAUGAGAUGGACCCGCGUCUGAUUAGGUAGUUGGUGGGGUAACGGCCUACCAAGCCGACGAUCAGUAGCCGACCUGAGAGGGUGACCGGCCACAUUGGGACUGAGACACGGCCCAGACUCCUACGGGAGGCAGCAGUGGGGAAUAUUGCACAAUGGAGGAAACUCUGAUGCAGCGACGCCGCGUGAAGGAUGAAGUAUUUCGGUAUGUAAACUUCUAUCAGCAGGGAAGAAAAUGACGGUA
RNAcentral lists this ribosomal RNA (449 nucleotides) under uncultured bacterium. Its description in RNAcentral is "bacterial SSU rRNA". It matches the Rfam family "Bacterial small subunit ribosomal RNA", at positions 28 to 477 of the family's 1533-position model. The record is from RNAcentral.